RNAcentral lists this ribosomal RNA (466 nucleotides) under uncultured bacterium. RNAcentral describes it as "partial 16S ribosomal RNA". It matches the Rfam family "Bacterial small subunit ribosomal RNA", at positions 28 to 507 of the family's 1533-position model. The record is from RNAcentral.
GAUGAACGCUGGCGGCGUGCUUAACACAUGCAAGUCGAACGAUGAAGCCCAGCUUGCCGGGUGGAUUAGUGGCGAACGGGUGAGUAACACGUGAGUAACCUGCCCUUAACUCUGGGAUAAGCCUGGGAAACUGGGUCUAAUACCGGAUAGGAGCGUCCACCGCAUGGGGGGUGUUGGAAAGAUUUAUCGGUUUUGGAUGGACUCGCGGCCUAUCAGCUUGUUGGUGAGGUAAUGGCUCACCAAGGCGACGACGGGUAGCCGGCCUGAGAGGGUGACCGGCCCCCCUGGGACUGAGCCACGGCCCAGACUCCUACGGGAGGCAGCAGUGGGGAAUAUUGCACAAUGGGCGCAAGCCUGAUGCAGCGACGCCGCGUGAGGGAUGACGGCCUUCGGGUUGUAAACCUCUUUCAGUAGGGAAGAAGCGAAAGUGACGGUACCUGCAGAAGAAGCACCGGCUAACUACGUG